This 405-nucleotide ribosomal RNA is filed under the name uncultured Lactobacillus sp. RNAcentral describes it as "bacterial SSU rRNA". It matches the Rfam family "Bacterial small subunit ribosomal RNA", at positions 976 to 1382 of the family's 1533-position model. Lineage: Bacteria; Bacillati; Bacillota; Bacilli; Lactobacillales; Lactobacillaceae. The record is from RNAcentral.
AGGUCUUGACAUCUUCUGCCAAUCUUAGAGAUAAGACGUUCCCUUCGGGGACAGAAUGACAGGUGGUGCAUGGUUGUCGUCAGCUCGUGUCGUGAGAUGUUGGGUUAAGUCCCGCAACGAGCGCAACCCUUAUUAUCAGUUGCCAGCAUUCAGUUGGGCACUCUGGUGAGACUGCCGGUGACAAACCGGAGGAAGGUGGGGAUGACGUCAAAUCAUCAUGCCCCUUAUGACCUGGGCUACACACGUGCUACAAUGGACGGUACAACGAGUUGCGAAGUCGUGAGGCUAAGCUAAUCUCUUAAAGCCGUUCUCAGUUCGGAUUGUAGGCUGCAACUCGCCUACAUGAAGUUGGAAUCGCUAGUAAUCGCGGAUCAGCAUGCCGCGGUGAAUACGUUCCCGGGCCUU